RNAcentral lists this long non-coding RNA (1634 nucleotides) under Sus scrofa (pig). RNAcentral's name for it is "lncRNA (ENSSSCG00040075239.1)". The record is from RNAcentral. Lineage: Eukaryota; Metazoa; Chordata; Mammalia; Artiodactyla; Suidae.
GUUUAUAGUACUUUGUUACAGUAGCCCUUGCAAACUAGUGUAGAGUUUAUUUUCUAAAUAUGUUUGAAACGAAUUGCCUUGCAAACGAGCAUUGACAUCUUAGAAACGUGGGCUUCUAAAGGGUGGGAGCCUCUAAGUGCCUAUAAUGUUCGCUGGCAGAUGUUGAAGAUGGAUUAAUAAAUUCAUUUUCACAGACUUUAUUAAGUGUGGAGAAAAAGCAAGAUAUUUAUCAGUAGUUUAGUCAUCUUGUGGAAACCACACUGACCUUUGAGUCCAAAGACCUAGUUAGGCUCAGGUUCUCAUUCUGCCACAGACUGAGGGGCUUCAAACAAGUUCCUUCACUGGUGGGAUUCUUAGGUCCUCAUUCAGUUUUUCCACUUUCUCACUUCAAGACUCCAUGUUUAGAAAGUAUAUGUCUCUAAGAGUUCCAAAAUGUCAGUCAUCUCCACAGCUGGAGAGAGGGAGAGUCAGGGCAGGGCUCAUGGGACCUGUGAAGAGGUUUGACUGGCUGUCUAGACAGACAUCCUCAAUGUUUAAACUUGAGUGAACAUCUGUUUAUCAUCCAAGAUGCUCAUGAUGCUACGCCAGCCUGCAGGUGGUCCCCUGGGGCCUGGCCACCAAAGAUGUUGUGUGAUCAUGGCAACUCAGGGGCUACAAGAUAGUGGAAUUAAUGAAUGGUAAAAAAAAAAAUGUAUAGGCUAGUAUCUAGAAUCUAGAUCCUAGAUGACAUUGGGAAUUUGAUUAGGGUACUAGGUCUGGUCUACCAUGAAUAAUACUCAGUUUUCCUUUUAAUUGGCAGGAUUCCAGGACCAAAACCCCUCACCACCAACUGUUUAGUCUGGCUAUAAGAAAAUGGAUACAUUUUAUUCUGAAAAAAGGCUCCAGCUCUUCCCCCUGCUUAGUUUGGGCUUAAGGACAGAUGCCCUGAAUGUUGCAAACUCCACUUCUCUCACCUUCCAUUUCAUUCCACUGGAACACUCUACCACAUCACCCUGAGGUUCUGGACCAGGAGUCAUGCCCUUGUGACCUUGAGACUGCACUCAGGCAGCGUGCAGUGCAGCAGGGAGUCUUCUCCAGCCCCAUCAACUGGAUGAAAGCUUUCCUACAUGGCCCACAUUGUCCUCUGCUUCCCCUCCUGGUUUGCCUCUUUCUCAUCAGAGUUCUGCAGCUCCCAGAGUCUGUUCCAUACCCUCAGUCCAUAUCGGUGGAGAGCCUGCAUGGCCAUGACCUGGAAGGGAGUGGAAGGCAGCGAGCUCUGAUCCAAGGCACUCCCCAUCUUCCCUGGAUGGGCCUCUCACUUGUACACUGAGGCAUUCACAGGCAGGGAAACCCCUGCAGACUAAGAAGGAGGCUGGGCUCAAGAACUAGUGGGUCCAGAUUUUGGCAGAGGCAGGGAAGCUUCCAGGAAAGGGGCUCCUCGUUAACAGCUGUGUGGGAGAGGGAAUGUGUGUGGUAUGCUUAUAUUCCAUUUGUCUAAAUAUUGUUUGCAUGAGGUCAGAGACCUUAGGCUUUGUUCUGACUUUCUAUGAAUGCAUAAAAAACCACCCCCAAAUUUAAGUCACUUCAAGCAAUUUAUUAGUAUCUCUAAUAGUUCUUGAGCUGGCUGGGCUCAUGUGGGUGGUUCUUGCUUGGAC